This 87-nucleotide non-coding RNA is filed under the name Thiothrix eikelboomii. Its description in RNAcentral is "Glycine sequence". It matches the Rfam family "Glycine riboswitch aptamer". From Rfam's summary of the family: This family represents the bacterial glycine riboswitch. Glycine riboswitches usually consist of two metabolite-binding aptamers domains with similar structures in tandem. The record is from Rfam by way of RNAcentral. Lineage: Bacteria; Pseudomonadati; Pseudomonadota; Gammaproteobacteria; Thiotrichales; Thiotrichaceae.
AAGAUACCCGCAGGAGAGUGCUUCUUAAGGAAGCCGCCGAAGGCGCAUAGCCCGUAAACGCUCAGGCAAAAGGACUGUGGGUGAUGG